UACAGAGGAGCCAAGCGUUGUCCGGAUUGACUGGGCGUAAAGCGCACGCAGGCGGCCGUGCACGUGGGGUGUGAAAGCUGGCGGCUUAACUGCCAGACGCCACCUCAUACGGCACGGCUCGAGCCCGUGAGAGGUCCACGGAAUUGCCGGUGUAGUGGUGAAAUGCGUAGAGAUCGGCAGGAACACCCAGGGGGAAACCAGUGGACUGGCACGGUGCUGACGCUCAGGUGCGAAAGCGUGGGGAGCGAACCGG
RNAcentral lists this ribosomal RNA (253 nucleotides) under uncultured bacterium. RNAcentral's name for it is "partial 16S ribosomal RNA". It matches the Rfam family "Bacterial small subunit ribosomal RNA", at positions 524 to 776 of the family's 1533-position model. The record is from RNAcentral.